RNAcentral lists this ribosomal RNA (253 nucleotides) under uncultured bacterium. RNAcentral's name for it is "partial 16S ribosomal RNA". It matches the Rfam family "Bacterial small subunit ribosomal RNA", at positions 524 to 776 of the family's 1533-position model. The record is from RNAcentral.
UACGUAGGGGGCAAGCGUUGUCCGGAAUCACUGGGCGUAAAGCGCGCGCAGGCGGCUAUCUACGUCCGGGGUGAAAGCCCAGAGCUCAACUCUGGGAUUGCCUUGGAUACGGGAUGGCUUGAGGAUCGGAGAGGCAAGGGGAAUUCCACGUGUAGCGGUGAAAUGCGUAGAGAUGUGGAGGAACACCUGUGGCGAAGGCGCCUUGCUGGCCGAUUUCUGACGCUGAGGCGCGAAAGCUGGGGGAGCAAACGGG